This 388-nucleotide ribosomal RNA is filed under the name uncultured bacterium. RNAcentral describes it as "bacterial SSU rRNA". It matches the Rfam family "Bacterial small subunit ribosomal RNA", at positions 8 to 409 of the family's 1533-position model. The record is from RNAcentral.
AGAGUUUGAUCAUGGCUCAGAAUGAACGUUGGCGGCGUGGAUUAGGCAUGCAAGUCGCACGCCCCGCAAGGGGAGUGGCGCAAGGGUGAGUAAGGCGACGGUAACCAACCCCCCGGACGGGCAUAGCCGCGGGAAACCGCGGGUAAUUCCCGGCGACGUCCGAGGCCGGCAUCGGCCCCGGACCACAGUUCCGGCGCCGGGGGACGGGCCGUCGUGGUAUUAGCUAGUUGGCGGGGUGACGGCCCACCAAGGCGGCGAUGCCUACCGGGCGUGCGAGCGUGGCCCGGCACACUGGGACUGAGACACUGCCCAGACUCCUACGGGAGGCUGCAGUCGAGAAUCUUCGGCAAUGGGCGCAAGUCUGACCGAGCGACGCCGCGUGGAGGAC